This 663-nucleotide transfer RNA is filed under the name Acinetobacter calcoaceticus. RNAcentral describes it as "partial contains 16S-23S ribosomal RNA intergenic spacer and 23S ribosomal RNA". The stretch from base 51 to 124 matches the Rfam family "tRNA". The record is from RNAcentral. Lineage: Bacteria; Pseudomonadati; Pseudomonadota; Gammaproteobacteria; Moraxellales; Moraxellaceae.
UGACGAUUGGUAAGAAUCCACAACAAGUUGUUCUUCAUAGAUGUAUCUGAGGGUCUGUAGCUCAGUUGGUUAGAGCACACGCUUGAUAAGCGUGGGGUCACAAGUUCAAGUCUUGUCAGACCCACCAUGACUUUGACUGAUUAAGGUUAUAGACAGAAAGAUACAUAACUGAUGAUGUAAGCUGGGGACUUAGCUUAGUUGGUAGAGCGCCUGCUUUGCACGCAGGAGGUCAGGAGUUCGACUCUCCUAGUCUCCACCAGAACUUAAGAGAAGUUCGGAUUACAGAAAUUAGUAAAUAAAGAUUUAGAUCUUGGUUUAUUAACUUCUGUGAUUUAAGUAUCACGGUAUUAAGCAUGACCUGACGAAGGCAUGUUUAUUCAUUAACAGAUUGGCAAAAUUGAGUCUGAAAUAAAUUGUUCACUCAAUAAUGAAGAGAGAGGAAGUAAUUCUGAUCUUGGAAUUCAUUGAGAACUAGCAAAUUAACUGAAUCAAGCGUUUUGGUAUAUGAAUUAGAUUGAAGCUGUACAGUGUUUAAAUACACAGUACUUCAAACUGUAAGAGAUUGAUGAGGAAUCAUUGAUCAUGUCUUAUUACUCCUUGUAGGUAAUAACGACUGUUUGGGGUUGUAUAGUCAAGUAAUUAAGUGCAUGUGGUGGAUGCCUG